AGCGCUCGUCCAAACCGCCAUCGCUGACAUCUGCCUUUCUGGGAACAGGUCGGACGAAAGCUUGUGCACACGAACCUAACCGAAUUGUAUCACACGUCUGAUCUCAUUUCCUGCAAUGUUAAAAGUAUCACACGUCUGAUCUCAAAUUGUAUCUCACCAUUGCAAAUAACAAAAAUCUCACACAUAAAUUGCAAAUCGUUCCCAAAUAACAAAAUCGCAGAAUUGCAAAUAACAAAUAACAAAAUCUCACACAUAAAUAGCAAAUCGUUCACAAAAUCUCACCAUUGUAAAUUGUUCCCAAUAGAAAUACUAUCAACGCCUCCCAAUAGAAAUAAAAUAUGAAGAAAUCGCAGAAAAAGAUGAAAUGAGAGAUCAACGGAAAUUGCAAAACGGUAGCAAAAAUUAAAGAACCCAACACGGUAGCCCAAAAAAUUGUAUCUCACCAUUGCAAAUAACAAAAUCUCACAUGUAAAUUGCAAAUCUUUUCCCAAUAGAAAAGAUCGCAGAAUAACAAAUAAUAAAAUCUCACACAUAAAUAACCAAUCGUUUACAAAAUCUCACAAUUGCAAAUCGUUCACAAUAGAAAUACUAUCAGCGCCCCCCAAUAGAAAUAAAAUAUGAAGAAAUCGCAGAAAAAAAUGAAAUGAAAGAUCAACGAAAAUCGCAAAACGGUAGCAGAAAUUGAAGAACCCAACACGGUAGCCAAAAGAAAGAGAUAGAAAGUUAAAAAAUAUAUGACGAUGGAAGAAAAAGAAAAACAUACCAGGACGACGACAAGUAGGCGAGACCGACGAAGACACCGAAAACGAAGACAAAGACGGCGCCUUCCAUAACGAAGAUGAAGACACCGAAAACGAAGACGUAGACGGUGCCUUCCAUA
RNAcentral lists this long non-coding RNA (880 nucleotides) under Zostera marina. RNAcentral describes it as "long non-coding RNA (ZMAR_LNC002622)". Lineage: Eukaryota; Viridiplantae; Streptophyta; Magnoliopsida; Alismatales; Zosteraceae. The record is from RNAcentral.